This 21-nucleotide microRNA is filed under the name Ananas comosus (pineapple). Its description in RNAcentral is "microRNA s0806_c110a". The record is from RNAcentral. Lineage: Eukaryota; Viridiplantae; Streptophyta; Magnoliopsida; Poales; Bromeliaceae.
GGAACUUACGAAUUUCGGAUU